Molecule: ribosomal RNA, 371 nt
Filed under: uncultured bacterium
Lineage: Bacteria
Description: bacterial SSU rRNA
Rfam family: Bacterial small subunit ribosomal RNA
Source: RNAcentral
GUAGGUGGCAAGCGUUGUCCGGAUUUACUGGGCGUAAAGAGCGCGCAGGCGGUCGUUCAAGUCGCGUGUGAAAGCCCCCGGCUCAACUGGGGAGGGUCACGCGAUACUGAUCGACUGGAAGGCAGGAGAGGGUAGUGGAAUUCCCGGUGUAGUGGUGAAAUGCGUAGAUAUCGGGAGGAACACCAGUGGCGAAGGCGACUACCUGGCCUGUUCUUGACGCUGAGGCGCGAAAGCUAGGGGAGCAAACGGGAUUAGAUACCCCGGUAGUCCUAGCCGUAAACGAUGGACACUAGGUGUUGGUGGUAUCAACCCCGCCAGUGCCGAAGCUAACGCAUUAAGUGUCCCGCCUGGGGAGUACGGCCGCAAGGCUA